Colobus angolensis palliatus is the source of this 163-nucleotide small nuclear RNA. Its record names the gene U1. It matches the Rfam family "U1 spliceosomal RNA". Rfam says of the family: U1 is a small nuclear RNA (snRNA) component of the spliceosome (involved in pre-mRNA splicing). Lineage: Eukaryota; Metazoa; Chordata; Mammalia; Primates; Cercopithecidae. The record is from Ensembl.
CUGCUUACCUGGCAGAGGACAGACCGUGAUCACAAAGGCGGUUUUCUCAGGGUGAGGCUUCUCCAUUGUACUCUGGAUGCGCUGAUCCCUGCAAUUUCCCCAAAUGUGGGAAACUCGACUGCGUCAUUUGUGGUAAUGGGGAACUGCAUUUGCACUCUCCCCU